RNAcentral lists this ribosomal RNA (418 nucleotides) under uncultured bacterium. RNAcentral describes it as "bacterial SSU rRNA". It matches the Rfam family "Bacterial small subunit ribosomal RNA", at positions 359 to 776 of the family's 1533-position model. The record is from RNAcentral.
GAAUAUUGCGCAAUGGCCGCAAGGCUGACGCAGCGACGCCGCGUGUGGGAUGAAGCUCUUCGGGGUGUAAACCACUGUUGCCCGGGACGAACUUCGGGCUUUAUCCCGAUUGACGGUACCGGGUGAGGCAGCACCGGCCCACUCCGUGCCAGCCGCCGCGGUAAUACGGAGGGUGCGAGCGUUGUCCGGAAUCACUGGGCGUAAAGGGCGCGUAGGCGGCUCGGCAAGUGUGUGGUGAAAGGCCGGGGCUUAACUCCGGGUCGGCCGUGCAAACUGCUGUGGCUUGAGGACUGUAGAGGCAGGUAGAAUUCCGGGUGUAGCGGUGGGAUGCGUAGAGAUCCGGAAGAACACCGGUGGCGAAGGCGGCCUGCUGGGCAGUUACUGACGCUGAGGCGCGACAGCGUGGGGAGCAAACAGG